GUCGGAGGAGGCCUCGGCGAAGCUCAAGGGUGCUGGUGUCACCCUGGCACUGCGCAGCCGCGAGGAGUUCACCCGCUUCUUCGACG
This 86-nucleotide transfer RNA is filed under the name Streptomyces werraensis. Its description in RNAcentral is "tRNA-Thr". Lineage: Bacteria; Bacillati; Actinomycetota; Actinomycetes; Kitasatosporales; Streptomycetaceae. The record is from RNAcentral.